AUGGCCCUGGCUGAAGACCAGUUACACUUCAGCUAUUGGUUUCAAGCAGAGGCCUAAAAAACUUUAUCUUCUAUGGUUUGUUGGCUGUUCUGGGACCUUGGUGGAGAAUGGUUGUUUCAUUUGGAGGAAACAAUC
This is a small nucleolar RNA of Sciurus carolinensis (gray squirrel), 135 nucleotides long. NCBI's taxonomy places the organism in Eukaryota, Metazoa, Chordata, Mammalia, Rodentia, Sciuridae. The record is from RefSeq and is a predicted model, not a curated record.